This 473-nucleotide ribosomal RNA is filed under the name uncultured bacterium. RNAcentral's name for it is "SSU rRNA". It matches the Rfam family "Bacterial small subunit ribosomal RNA", at positions 26 to 518 of the family's 1533-position model. The record is from RNAcentral.
AGGACGAACGCUGGCGGCGUGCUUAACACAUGCAAGUCGAGCGGAAAGGCCCUUCGGGGUACUCGAGCGGCGAACGGGUGAGUAACACGUGAGUAAUCUGCCCCUAGCUCUGGGAUAGCUCCGGGAAACCGGGAUUAAUACCGGAUACGACCACCUUAGACAUCUUUUGUGGUGGAAAGAAUUUCGGCUAGGGAUGAGCUCGCGGCCUAUCAGCUUGUUGGUGGGGUAACGGCCUACCAAGGCGACGACGGGUAGCCGGCCUGAGAGGGCGACCGGCCACACUGGGACUGAGACACGGCCCAGACUCCUACGGGAGGCAGCAGUGGGAAUAUUGCGCAAUGGGCGAAAGCCUGACGCAGCGACGCCGCGUGCGGGAUGAAGGCCUUCGGGUUGUAAACCGCUUUCAGCAGGGACGAAGCGAAAGUGACGGUACCUGCAGAAGAAGCGCCGGCUAACUACGCGCCAGCAGCCGC